Molecule: long non-coding RNA, 956 nt
Filed under: Gossypium barbadense (sea-island cotton)
Lineage: Eukaryota; Viridiplantae; Streptophyta; Magnoliopsida; Malvales; Malvaceae
Description: long non-coding RNA (GBAR_LNC012598)
Source: RNAcentral
CAGUUCUUAAAAUUUUAAUGCUUUUAAAGCUAAUUUAAAAUUACUGUAAUGACUCAUUUUUGCUCGGGCUUAGAGAAGAACCAAAUAAAAAAAAAAACAACAGUCAAUUAUUGCAAAGUCCAAAUUACAGAACAGGCUACAGACCCAAUACCCAAAUUUGCAAGCCCAUACAUGAGCCCAAAUGAGGACCAAACUAUGGCCCAAAAUGUUUUAACACCCUCGGAUGAAUCCUAGGGUUUUUGAAACCUUAGGCGCCGCUCCUCACGUGGUGUCAGCGCGUUAAGCGCCCAAGACAGACUCACCAUCCCAUCACUCCCGUCAACGCCUACAAAACAGAAACAGAAAGAGAAACAGAGGCAAGCAAAAGCAAUGGCAGUAGAAAACAAAGCCAAACAGUAGUAAACAGUGGCUAAAUGGUACUAAACAGUAGCAAAGGCAGCGAUAGUAGAAACAAGAAAUAUUAACAGCUGUAAUAUGGUUCGGCCAUAAAGCCAUGAAUAUCUUCAUUGUAUAAGGGGGGAUUUUCAUUCUUCGAAACAAAAAAAAAAUACAAAAGAAAAUUGAAACAGAAAGGUAAUUUUCGCUCUAUAUUUCGUUCAUUUUUUACUUAUAAGUUUUUUUUUCUCGUUUACAUAUGAAAAUAUAAAAAAAAAGAGAAAAGACUUACCUAAAUCGGUCGAUUCGUUCACCGUCGGUGAGGGCCACGCCAGAAAAGGAGAAGAAACCGGGUGUUUCUUUGUUGCUUCGCCAGAGUUUGGCCAAGUUUUCGGGGUUUCGGCCUCAGGUCCUUGCUCUACGCGCAACGGUCUCGAAAAGGGGAACUUUUGGGCUUCUCCGGCCACCGCGGACGGCGGCCGCCGCGGCAGUCCGGUGAUCGGUCCAUGGCCGGACAUGGGGUUGAGAGAGAAGAGAGGAGAGCAAAAUUUUUUAUUUUUUUGGAAAGAGGGGGUUAAAAU